GCGCGCUCUCUCGCACGAUCUGCUCCCGGACUCCUUCAGCGCGCUGCCUGCCUGCCCAGGGCCUUCCCGGAGAGCAGGUGACGGCGGCCUCCGGGCAUGGAGCUCGCGCUGACGAAAGGUUCUGGAAGCCGCCGUAAAAAGUAAUCAAGAAACGGGUGACAGGACUUUUCGAACAAGGUCUCACCAUGCUGCCCAAGCUGGUCUGAAAACUCUUGUCCUCAGGCAGUCCUCCCACCUCGGCCUCCCAAAGAUCUGAGAUUACAGGCAUGAGCCACCACACCUGGCCUUGGUUUUAAUUCCUGUCACAGUAUAUUAGUUUUCGCUGUUGUGUAUUGAUUGAUUGAGACAGGGUCUCGCUCUGUUGCCCAGGCUGGAGUGCAGGGGCAUGAUCCCAGCUCACUGCAACCUCCACCUCUUGGAUUCAAGUGAUUCUCCCGUCUCAGCCUCCCGAGUAACAGGAACCACAGGUGUGUGCCAGCACGCCUGGCUAAUUUUUUUUUUUUUUUUCUUGAGGUGGAGUUUCACUGUUGUUGCCCAGGUUGGAGUGCAGUGGCACAAUCUCAGCUCACUGCAACCUCUGCCUCCUGGGUUCAAGUGAUUCUCCUGCUUCAGCCUCACGAGUUGUUGGGAUUACAGGCGCCCGCCACCACGCCCAGGUAAUUUUUGUUUAGUAGAGACGGGGUUUCACCAUGUUGGCCUGGCUGGUCUCGAACUCCUGACCUCAGGUGAUCCACCCACCUCGGCCUCCCAAAGUUGUGGGAUUGCAGGCGUGAGCCACUGCGCCUGGCCUAAUUUUUCAAUUUUUUGGUGGAGAUAGGGUUUCACCAUGUUGGCCAGGCUGGAGUUUUGCCUGUUCUAGAAGCUUGUAUCAGUCAUACAACACCCCUUUGAGGAACCGUUUGAGGUGUGGCACGAUACAGCAAGUCAGCUGCCAAAGAGGGGCUUAGCCACAGGAAGUGCGUGCCCAGAACGUUCUAUGAGGCUGGCUGCCCUGUUUGACAACUGAGGCCCGCAUCUUCCCCGGAAUCACCGACGUGUGGCUCUGAGCCCUGUCCCAGGGAUUUUCUCCAUCAGAGAAGAGGAGCACUUUGAGCUUUGAGAGGAGCAGCCCUCUGCAAGUGAAGUGGAAAAAAAGGAAGCAGGCGAGGAGGCCCAUCCAGACCCUCCCCCAAGACCCUUGCUGAAAUGGCUGGGAUGCGGCGUGCAGAAGCUCUCCUUUCCUUCACAGCCCCUGGCUUUCCAAGAGUCCCUGCCCACCCAGAUGCCCGCUGGCAGAUGCAGCCUCAUCUCAAGGACACUGCUUGCUGGAUAAAUCCCUCACCACCCUAGAGACAGCCCACGGUCCUGAGACAAGGAUGCGGGCCAGGCUUGUUGCACGUAAGCGCCUCCCGCAGAAACCAGUGAGGCCGGAGUUCCAGAGGAAAUGAUGUAGGGACAGAGGCAGAGGGCCUCCAGGAGGCACCAGCCCCAGAGUCUUCCCUAGAAUCAGACUUUAAGCACAAGCAGGGAGGGAAAGCACUUGAGCAGUGCCCGUCCCUGCAUACCUGGCCUCUGCUGGAACCCAUGCAGGGACAGGACACUUCUUUAUCAGCAAUCCUGUUCCUCUCCUGGGCAGCUUCAACCUGAACAUCCUCCUUCACCUUGAGCUAAAAUGGGUUUCUUGUCACCCUUGCCCAUCAAACCUGGCCUUGCCCUCAGGAACCACACAGGACAAGCCUAAUACUUCCUUCUUGUGGCAACACUUUAGCAAUUGAGACCUGGCUGUCAGGUCCUCCAAAUAAACAUUUGUGACUGUGAUGUUGACUUGCCGCUUCUGGGGACCUCUUCUCAUUUGAUCGGAGAAAGUUUUUCAGGGUUAAACCUACUUCUUUCCCCCAAGAAACUCUUCUUGUCAGGCUCACGCCUAUAAUCCUGGCACUUUGGGAGGCCAAGGCAGGAGGAUUGUUUGAGACCAGCCUGGGCAACGUAGGUAGACUAUGUUGCUACAAAAAGAAAAAGAAAAAAUGGCCAGGUGUAGUAGUCCCAGCUGCUUGGAGGCUGAGGUAGGAGGUUUGCUUGAGCCCAGGAGGUCGAGGCUGCAGUGAGCUAUGAUUGUGCCACUGCACUCUAGCCUGGGAGACAGAAUGAGGCCCUGUCUCAAAAAAAAAAAAAAAAAAAAAAAGAUGAUGAAACUCCUCACGUAUUUCUCCCCGGAGCAUGUGCUCCCAGGCUCAAAUCCACAGCAGCCUCGUUACACACACGUCAUCCCCUGGCCCCGAGAUAUUGCACCGCCUUCCCCUUUCUAGCUCUGAACCCCCACAUGAAGCAGCCAGACGUAGGAAAACCCAGAUUCAUAAAGCGCUGAUAUGGGUGGUCCUUUACCAAAGGAUUUUCUGCUUUACAAAGUAAUUCACCAAAUGAUUUCCCUAGAGUAUGGGCAGAGAUUUGCAAACUACAGCUUGGAACCAAGCUGCCUUUUUUUUAUAAUAAAGUUUUAUCAGGAUGCAUCCACAUCCAUUCAUCUCUGUGGUGCCAGCUGCUCUAGCUACACAGGCAGAGUGGAAGAGUUGCAGAUGGCCAACAAAACCUAAACUGUUUACCGCCUGGCCCCUUAUAGAAGCAGCUGGCUGACGCUGGCUCCAGGGCAUCAGAAAUGGGACCAUUGGAAAGGAGUAGCCGGGCUACAUGGUUUUUCUUCUGCCCCACGUCUUGUUCUCAAACAUGCUUCCUCCCCAGUCAUCUGAGGAAUGUCAGUCUGAGACAGUCAGGAGCAGGUGUGCCUAGGGAUGCAUGGUUUCUGAAAAUGGGGUGGGGUCUUUUAGGCUGAGGGCUCUGGCAGCUUCUGUCUGAAGGCUGAGCUGAGCUGAGCAGAGCUGGGCAUGGUGGCUCACGCCUGUAGUCCCGGCUACUCAGGAGGCCAAGGUGGGAGAAUCACUUGAGCCUGGGAAGUUCAGAGGAGCCUGGGCAACACAGUGAGACCUCAUCUUUAUUUUUUGAAAUUUUUUGUUUUUAUUAUUUUUUUAAUUUUUAGGAGCAGAGGGUUAAUAGGCAAAAGAAAGAGAGAGAGGAAAACAGCUCUCUCCAGUGAGAGAGAGGGUACUUCUGAAAGGAAAACGCCACCGGCAGCAGAUGCACUGGAUUUUAUAGUCAGGCUUGAGGAGGUGGUGUCUGAUUUACAUAGGGCUCACAGAUUGGUUCAGUCAGGUAUGAUGUUUACAUAGCGCUGGGGUGUGGGGAAGGCUGACCUCCCCACUCUAAUCUUAUUAUGCAAAUGAACUUUCCCCUUGGCCAGCACCAUCUUGUCUGCUCCUUACUGUGCACGUGGCUGGCAGAGAAGGGAAGAUGGAGCCGCCAUUUUGAACAUGAUUGGCACAACUGCCUGCAUCUAUGUCUGCAGCUCGAUUUUACACGCUGCUCUUUGUUAGAAAGGAAAAUGAUUUGGGGCUGCUUUUCAGUAAAAGGAAAACCUUACUGAGGACUUCUGUAUCCUCACUAUCUAAGUAAUUUCCUCUUAACUCCUGUAUCAUUCCCCACUCUGGAGUGGUAACCCUAACUGCUCUUCGGGGUUGUUUGAUGAUGACUCUUUCUGGCUACUUCAUACUUAAAAGGGGUGUUGUGUGGGGAACAGAAGCUAAGGGCUCCUCCUGGGGUCGAGCUAAGGGUCCUCGGAAAAAAGGCAUGUCCGUGCAUGGUUCUGUCUGCAGCACCAUUUAGAGUUUGAUUACUGUCAGCCAUUCUGAUGGGUUGUAACACUGGUUUGCCUCCACCAGAUGUUGAGAUAGUUUCCAGAUUCCAGAGAAACCAGG
This 3785-nucleotide long non-coding RNA is filed under the name Homo sapiens (human). Its description in RNAcentral is "HSALNT0227031". Lineage: Eukaryota; Metazoa; Chordata; Mammalia; Primates; Hominidae. The record is from RNAcentral.